UACGUAGGGUGCGAGCGUUAAUCGGAAUUACUGGGCGUAAAGCGUGCGCAGGCGGUCUGUUAAGACCGAUGUGAAAUCCCCGGGCUUAACCUGGGAACUGCAUUGGUGACUGGCAGGCUUUGAGUGUGGCAGAGGGAGGUAGAAUUCCACGUGUAGCAGUGAAAUGCGUGGAGAUGUGGAGGAAUACCGAUGGCGAAGGCAGCCUCCUGGGCCAACACUGACGCUCAUGCACGAAAGCGUGGGAGCAAACAGG
This 253-nucleotide ribosomal RNA is filed under the name uncultured bacterium. RNAcentral's name for it is "partial 16S ribosomal RNA". It matches the Rfam family "Bacterial small subunit ribosomal RNA", at positions 524 to 776 of the family's 1533-position model. The record is from RNAcentral.